AUCAUGGAGAGUUUGAUCCUGGCUCAGAACGAACGCUGGCGGCGCGUCUUAAGCAUGCAAGUCGAGCGGCAAGCGGUAGCAAUACCGCCUAGAGCGGCGGACUGGUGAGUAACGCGUGGGUGAUCUACCUAUAGGUUGGGGAUAGCCUCUAGAAAUAGAGGGUAAUACCGAAUAUCUUUGCCGGACUUUGGUUUGGUAAGGAAAGGCGCUUCGGCGCCGCCUGUUGAUGAGCCCGCGUACUAUUAGCUUGUUGGUGAGGUAAUGGCCCACCAAGGCUAUGAUAGUUAGCCGGCCUGAGAGGGUGAUCGGCCACAUUGGGACUGAGAUACGGCCCAAACUCCUACGGGAGGCAGCAGCUAAGAAUAUUCCGCAAUGGACGAAAGUCUGACGGAGCGACGCCGCGUGAAUGACGAAGGCCGAAAGGUUGUAAAAUUCUUUUGCCACUGAAGAAUAAGCAUGGUAGGUAAUGACCGUGUGAUGACGUUAGGUGGUGAAUAAGCCCCGGCUAAUUACGUGCCAGCAGCCGCGGUAACACGUAAGGGGCGAGCGUUGUUCGGAAUUAUUGGGCGUAAAGGGCGCGUAGGCGGCUCUGUAAGUCUGAAGUGAAA
RNAcentral lists this ribosomal RNA (608 nucleotides) under Spirochaetaceae bacterium. RNAcentral describes it as "bacterial SSU rRNA". It matches the Rfam family "Bacterial small subunit ribosomal RNA", at positions 1 to 599 of the family's 1533-position model. Lineage: Bacteria; Pseudomonadati; Spirochaetota; Spirochaetia; Spirochaetales; Spirochaetaceae. The record is from RNAcentral.